UACGUAGGGGGCUAGCGUUGUCCGGAAUCAUUGGGCGUAAAGAGCGUGUAGGCGGCCCGGUAAGUCCGCUGUAAAAGUCAAAGGCUCAACCUUUGAAUGUCAGUGGAUACUGCCGGGCUAGAGUCCGGAAGAGGCGAGUGGAACUCCUGGUGUAGCGGUGGAAUGCGCAGAUAUCAGGAAGAACACCAACGGCGAAGGCGGGUCUCUGGACAGUUCCUGACACUGAGGCACGAAGGCCAGGGGAGCAAACGGG
RNAcentral lists this ribosomal RNA (253 nucleotides) under uncultured bacterium. RNAcentral's name for it is "partial 16S ribosomal RNA". It matches the Rfam family "Bacterial small subunit ribosomal RNA", at positions 524 to 776 of the family's 1533-position model. The record is from RNAcentral.